This is a long non-coding RNA of Thamnophis elegans (Western terrestrial garter snake), 681 nucleotides long. RefSeq lists it as uncharacterized. NCBI's taxonomy places the organism in Eukaryota, Metazoa, Chordata, Lepidosauria, Squamata, Natricidae. The record is from RefSeq and is a predicted model, not a curated record. The transcript has 3 exons.
AAAUAAAUCCAGGUGGUGAAUAUAUCCAACACUUUCCUUCUCCUAUUUUUCCCCACAGCAACAACCUUGUGAGAUAGGUUGGGCCGAGAGUGACUGCCCAAUAAUCACCCAACUUGUUUUCAUAGUCUCCUGCUUUCUAGCCCGAUGCCUUGAACACUAGAUCAAACUGACCAUGGUUGAUGUUUUGUGACAUGUAAUGCCAUUAUCAUGUGCUUUCAAAAUUUGGAAUAUUUACAGGAUUGGAGAGUUCUGUAAAUAAGAUACAUUUAGUUUGGGUAAAUUUAAAUUGAGUUUAGUUUGGAUAAAUUAACAAUGUUUUACUCAAAUUCAGGAAGCCUGUGAGAUGAAUCGAGGUCUUCAAGUUAAAGUUGAAGAAAAGUUACGAAGACUCAAGCUGCAGAUGGCUGCAGAUCUUCGAAGAAUGAUAGGUUCACAGGGAGAACAUGACCAGCUGGACCCUUUACCCAACAUGCUUCAACAAAGAAAUGGUGAAAUAGAAGAAAUGAAAGUGAAACAAUUAGAAAAACCAAUGCUGCCCAGGAUGUAGGAGCGGGGCAGGAGGCUCUCCCCGAGGUUGGUGCCUCCACUGAGGUAGCUGCGCAUGAUGGUGAAGCUGGAGGAGGAGGAGCCGGUGGACAUGGUGCUGGUGCCCACAUUCGUGCCCCCGGAUGACUUCUCUGC